Molecule: ribosomal RNA, 393 nt
Filed under: Stramenopiles sp. MAST-2D
Lineage: Eukaryota
Description: partial small subunit ribosomal RNA
Rfam family: Eukaryotic small subunit ribosomal RNA
Source: RNAcentral
AUUCCAGCUCCAAUGGCGUAUAUUAAAGUUGUUGCAGUUAAAAAGCUCGUAGUUGGAUUUCUGGCAGGAGCGACCGGUCGGCCCAUUGUGGUGUGUACUGGUGUUGCAUCUGGCCAUAUUUGUGGAGAGCGUGUGUGGCAUUAAUUUGUCGUGCUCGGGACCCGCAUCGUUUACUGUGAGAAAAUUAGAGUGUUCAAAGCAGGCUUAUGCCUUGGAUAUGUUAGCAUGGAAUAAUAAGAUAAGACUUUGGCGGUCUAUUUUGUUGGUUUGCACGCCAUUGUAAUGAUUGAUAGGGACAGUUGGGGGUAUUCAUAUUUAAUUGUCAGAGGUGAAAUUCUUGGAUUUAUGAAAGAUGAACUACUGCGAAAGCAUUUACCAAGGAUGUUUUCAUUA